GGCCAGGUGAUGAAACUGGUAGACAUGCGGCUCUCAAAAAGCCGUGCUUGAUGCGUGAGGGUUCGAAUCCCUCCCUGGCUA
Molecule: transfer RNA, 81 nt
Filed under: Chloroflexota bacterium
Lineage: Bacteria; Bacillati; Chloroflexota
Also listed under: 2 other names
Description: Chloroflexi bacterium tRNA-Leu
Rfam family: tRNA
About the family: Transfer RNA (tRNA) molecules are approximately 80 nucleotides in length. Their secondary structure includes four short double-helical elements and three loops (D, anti-codon, and T loops). Further hydrogen bonds mediate the characteristic L-shaped molecular structure. tRNAs have two regions of fundamental functional importance: the anti-codon, which is responsible for specific mRNA codon recognition, and the 3' end, to which the tRNAs corresponding amino acid is attached (by aminoacyl-tRNA synthetases). tRNAs cope with the degeneracy of the genetic code in two manners: having more than one tRNA (with a specific anti-codon) for a particular amino acid; and 'wobble' base-pairing, i.e. permitting non-standard base-pairing at the 3rd anti-codon position.
Source: RNAcentral